This is a long non-coding RNA of Sorghum bicolor (sorghum), 789 nucleotides long. RefSeq lists it as uncharacterized. The transcript is spliced from 2 exons. The record is from RefSeq and is a predicted model, not a curated record. NCBI's taxonomy places the organism in Eukaryota, Viridiplantae, Streptophyta, Magnoliopsida, Poales, Poaceae.
CGUAACUCCUGCCUUCAUGGUCUUGAUUGAGAGGAGUUUCUGGUAACUCCUGUCCGUUUCUGUCUCCUUCACCGCAAAGAGUCGCGACCUUUCUGUUCCGCGCCUGGCCUUCCUCCUUCUGCUCUCCUAUAAAAGGACCCGCACUCUCUCGGUUCUCUUACGAAGAAAAAAAACCACAUCCAGUUGCGUAAGUCCUUUCCGUUCCAUCUCCGGCGAGCACCAGAGAUGGAAGAGUAGGCCUCCGGAACGCGUCUCCGUCGUGCGCUUCAUCUGUUCGGGUGAGGACGGGCGAUUACGUUUUUGGGGAGUGUCAUUGGCGACACGACUACUCGCUGGUGAUUCUGCGGCGACUAUAUGGUAACCUUUUCGGCACUGCAUCGAGCGGGACGACUACAACGACAAAGCACCACCAUGACUUUUCCCGGUGCGAGUGGUUCUGCCGCAGGGUCGGGAGGAGUGGAGCCUUGCUGAUGGAGAAUGGUGCGCGUGCUGGUGUUCAUGGUGUUGGUACGGUGGAUCUGAAGCUUACUUCGGGGAAGACCGUGCAACUCAAGAACGUGCAUCAUGUCCCCUCCAUAAGGAAAAAUCUGACUAGUGGCUCUUUGCUAUGUCGUGAUGGCUUUAAACUUGUGUUUGAGUCUAAUAAAUAUGUAAUGUCAAAGUAUGGAACCUUUGUUGGAAAGGGCUAUGAAAGCGGAGGCUUGUUCCGCUUGUCGCUAGUUGACGCUUUACCUCUUGCCGUGAACAAUGUGGUUAAUAACGUUAAUGUUGAGAUGAAUGUUUGGCAUU